UUUGAAACUUCUAUGAAUGUUUGUUUAUUUCAUGCUUUCUUGUUCCCUAUGUGUGCCUUUCUCUGCAAUAUGUCCACGAAGAUUUAUUGGGUGAGGGAGGUAUGGGUUUUUAGGGCCGGUUUCUAGGGAGGUGGUCUGUUGUCAGUGCCUUCGCAGGGUGGGCACAUUAUAUGGGGGAAGAGAGGAGAGGGGGUUGGUUGCAGAGAGUGGUGCGUAAUUUGGGGUAGAUAAGGGAGGGGCUUGGUUGCAGAGAGAAUUAGGGGGACAGAAAGAGAGUUGAUUGGGUGCACGGUUUGAGGGUAGGGUUGAGAGAAUGAGUGUGUUGGCUGCAGAGAGAGGGUAGGGUUGAAGAAAAUUUGAUGAUUGUUUAAGCACAAACUGGCCGCAUUGAUGAUUCUUCGUAAAAUUUCGCAACUUUGGUGAAAUACUCAUGAUUCCUGUUUGUGUGUAUUUAUCAACUUUUGACUGUUUUUUGUUGAAAUCAUGAUGUUGAGCUUACAUAAAUAGUUAAAUUAAGAGACCAAUGUUGGACUGUUAGUUCAAAAUGUGUUUUGUUUUAAUUUUAAUCUUUAGCAUACGAAGAUAUACAACGGCUCAUGUUAUUUGGUUCAACAAUUGGAUUGUUAUUAAGAGUAUACUAUGUUUUUCUAAUUUUUGUUUUUGGACAUUCAGCGUUUGAAUUUAAUGUAAGGAAAAUGAUUUGCAAAAUGCCCUUUGGGUCUAUGUAUCAGUUAGUUCUUCUCUGUCUUUAUAAGGUUGAUUACUUUCAUACUAACUCUCUGUGGAAUUGUGUAAUUGAACUGUAAGUCUAACUACAUUUUUUGUGGGGGAUAGACAGCCAUUAUACUAUAAAUUUUGUGAAGUAAUAGGUAACCAAACAUUAGAAAGACUCGAAAACUGGUGCAGUGGGAAAAAGAGUGCCUCUUUCAAGAGAUGCAAUUUGUUAAUUUGAAAAUUAGAUUGGUCAAAGUUGCACGCCAAUGGCCUUAUUCCUAAGUUUCUUGCUUUCUCUGCAAGCAAGGGCUUCUCUACAAAGACGUCCAUAAUUGUUUUAACUUUUUAGUUUUUAUUAGGCACUUAUAUGGUUAUGCCUGUGUUCUCUACCUCCUCCUCUGACUCUUUUUUCUUUUUCUUAUUCUUCUCUUUGUGCAACUUCCAAAUAUGGUGGAAUCGGUGGAGCUCCCCACUCGCCUAGGCAUCUUUCCUUUAUGAAACAAGGUCCUUCUACCCUGCACCAUCUUCGAAUUCAUUGCACUUCACCCGGCAGUGUCAAAUUGGUGGAGCAUGAGUUAUGGCAGCGGGAAGAGAAGGGGUUAAUUGGUAUUCUUCCUGUUCAAGGUGUUGCCGAGGCAGCAACAGUGGACUCUGUGUUGUCUCAAGGAAUGGGAAGUGAUUCUGGUGAAUGAAGCUCUGGAGUUCAAGUUUGUACAUCUGAUUCUCACAGGCUAGAUGGAUGGGGAAAAUCAACAGGAGCUUAUUCACUGUCAUACAAGGUAUACUUGAAUCAAAAUCUAUUUUGUUAUGGAUUGGAAAGUGUAUCUAUUUUAUGGGGCCACAACUUAACUUACAGAUAACGCAGUGGUCCAUCUAAUCAUGUCAUGUGUUGUGACUGUUUUUAUUUCAAUCAGUUCUUUUAACUCGUGAAUAAGCUAUGCUGAGUUGAAUGUAUAUAAAAGCCAAGUUGCUUAUCUUAUUGACCUCA
Non-coding RNA from Malus domestica (apple), 1702 nucleotides. NCBI's taxonomy places the organism in Eukaryota, Viridiplantae, Streptophyta, Magnoliopsida, Rosales, Rosaceae. The record is from RefSeq and is a predicted model, not a curated record.